AAUAAUUUUGCAGCAAAAUGGAAGGUGGAAGACUGGACGUGAAAGUGGUGGAAAAAAUACAUGCUGGACCGAGCUCCGAGAAAAUUAACAAAAAAUGGCAGAAAAUCACCGUGCUCAUUUAAUGCAUCUUGAUCGUGUCAACAGCCUCAGAGAGAUAGCCAACAGGCCCAGACCCUGACGGGAUUACAGGAAUGAAUGAAUCCUUUUGAGUUGUAUAUGGAUGAAGCCUUUCGAAUGCGGUAUCGCUUCUCAAAAGAGACUGCACUCCAUCUCAUCAACAUGUGUGAGGGUGAUCUGAGGAGGAAUACAGAAUGUAGUGAACCUCUACCUGUUGUCAUAGGUGUCAUCGAUGGGACUCAUGUCUACAUUAGGAGUCCUGGUGGGGAACAAGCCCUGUACUUCCUUAAUCGGAAGAACAGGUAUUCCGUCAGUGUGCAGAUUGCAUUUUUAAUAUAAAUGUAGACUCUGUUAUGCCAGUCUGAACUUUUGGGGAAGGGUCGAUAAUGUGACUUGUACUCCUAUCAUCAUUCCAAUGUCACUAAAGUAUAAUAGCGGUCAUUGACUAUUUUUAAGCAUUGAAAUUUAGAUUGUUUUAUUUAGCACCCUCUCUUUGUAAUGUACUGUACAGUACUUAUUUGUCCUUUAAAUAUGCUCUUGAGCAUUUUCCUUACAAAUUCAUUUAUCUUGAUAUUAGACGCUACAGACUAAGAAUUUAAGUGAGUCUUUCGAUAAUUGUGUUUGAUAUAUCAACAUAUAUAUACAAAAUCUUAUAAUUCCAUUGUAUUUCUUUAAGUUAGAGAAGUGUGAAAAUCAUUCAGACAAAGACCAGAUCCUUCUAACUAGGUUUACUUUAAAAAUAAAUACUCACUUUCUUACUGUCAUGCUCUUCGUGUAUUUUUCAAUUGAUAAUACCGAAGUCAUAUAUCAAUAUUCAAUAAAUACUUAAUCAUCAUACAGAGUGAUGAAUAUAAGUACAUUAAUAACAUAAAUAUAAUAUAGUAUUACCCCUAUCUGACGUCUGAGCUGGACAUUUAAAAUGUAUGGCCCUAGUUUUCAUGAAUAUUGAUAAUGAGUCAGGUACUGUAUUAUCUGUAUACUAUAUUGCUUUUCUUGGUCUUUAUAGUACAAUGUCAUCCAUUGCAACAUAAUUCCUAAUUUAUGAAUAGAUAUGUCUAUAUACAGUUUUUAUGAUAUCAAUAUUCAAAUGAAUUCUCCCAACCACAUCAACAAAUCAAGAACUUCUGUUAUUUCUUUAUCUAUGAGUAUUUAAUAUAAUCUGCAGUACUGCUGAUACAAUAUAAAC
Long non-coding RNA from Lytechinus variegatus (green sea urchin), 1303 nucleotides. RefSeq lists it as uncharacterized. NCBI's taxonomy places the organism in Eukaryota, Metazoa, Echinodermata, Echinoidea, Temnopleuroida, Toxopneustidae. The record is from RefSeq and is a predicted model, not a curated record. The transcript is spliced from 3 exons.